UGCAGCGACGCCGCGUGAGGGAUGACGGCCUUCGGGUUGUAAACCUCUUUCAGCAGGGACGAAGCGCAAGUGACGGUACCUGUAGAAGAAGGACCGGCCAACUACGUGCCAGCAGCCGCGGUAAUACGUAGGGUCCGAGCGUUGUCCGGAAUUACUGGGCGUAAAGAGCUCGUAGGUGGUUUGUCGCGUUGUUCGUGAAAACUCACAGCUUAACUGUGGGCGUGCGGGCGAUACGGGCAGACUUGAGUACUGCAGGGGAGACUGGAAUUCCUGGUGUAGCGGUGGAAUGCGCAGAUAUCAGGAGGAACACCGGUGGCGAAGGCGGGUCUCUGGGCAGUAACUGACGCUGAGGAGCGAAAGCGUGGGGAGCGAACAGGAUUAGAUACCCUGGUAGUCCACGCCGUAAACGGUGGGUACUAGGUGUGGGUUUCCUUCCUUGGGAUCCGUGCCGUAGCUAACGCAUUAAGUACCCCGCCUGGGGAGUACGGCCGCAAGGCUAAAACUCAAAGAAAUUGACGGGGGCCCGCACAAGCGGCGGAGCAUGUGGAUUAAUUCGAUGCAACGCGAAGAACCUUACCUGGGUUUGACAUGCACAGGACGUGCCUAGAGAUAGGUAUUCCCUUGUGGCCU
This 630-nucleotide ribosomal RNA is filed under the name Mycobacterium sp. Se3Ps_2778. RNAcentral's name for it is "bacterial SSU rRNA". It matches the Rfam family "Bacterial small subunit ribosomal RNA", at positions 387 to 1029 of the family's 1533-position model. Lineage: Bacteria; Bacillati; Actinomycetota; Actinomycetes; Mycobacteriales; Mycobacteriaceae. The record is from RNAcentral.